RNAcentral lists this unclassified non-coding RNA (218 nucleotides) under uncultured Tomentella. RNAcentral describes it as "sequence contains ITS2". Lineage: Eukaryota; Fungi; Basidiomycota; Agaricomycetes; Thelephorales; Thelephoraceae. The record is from RNAcentral.
ACACCUCAACUCUCAUGGUUUGCCAUGAUGAGCUUGGACUUUGGGGGUCUUGCCGGCCUAUGGUCGGCUCCUCUAAAAUGAAUCAGCUUGCCAGUGUUUGGUGGCGUCGCAGGUGUGAUAACUAUCUACGCUUGUGGCUUCCCACCAGGUAACCUCCAGCAAUGGAGGUUCGCUGGGGCUCAUAAAUGUCUCUCCUCAGCGAGGACAGCUUUUUGAAC